UCCCAGACUCCUACGGGAGGCAGCAGUGAGGAAUAUUGGUCAAUGGGCGGAAGCCUGAACCAGCCAAGUCGCGUGAGGGAAGAAGGCCCUGCGGGUCGCAGACCUCUUUGGACGGGGAGCAAGGCCGCCGACGUGUCGGCGGAAGGAGAGUACCCGUAGAACAAGCAUCGGCUAACUCCGUGCCAGCAGCCGCGGUAAUACGGAGGAUGCGAGCGUUAUCCGGAUUUAUUGGGUUUAAAGGGUGCGCAGGCGGCACGGCGAGCCGGCGGUCAAAUCGCGGGGCUCAACCCCAUCCAGCCGUUGAAACUGGGGAUCUAGAGUGUGCGAGAGGUAUGCGGAAUGCGUGGUGUAGCGGUGAAAUGCAUAGAUAUCACGCAGAACUCCGAUUGCGAAGGCAGCAUACCGGCGCCCAACUGACGCUGAAGCACGAAAGCGUGGGUAUCGAACAGGAUUAGAUACCCCCGUA
This 466-nucleotide ribosomal RNA is filed under the name uncultured bacterium. RNAcentral's name for it is "bacterial SSU rRNA". It matches the Rfam family "Bacterial small subunit ribosomal RNA", at positions 329 to 792 of the family's 1533-position model. The record is from RNAcentral.